Molecule: ribosomal RNA, 325 nt
Filed under: Macrobrachium horstii
Lineage: Eukaryota; Metazoa; Arthropoda; Malacostraca; Decapoda; Palaemonidae
Description: eukaryotic LSU rRNA
Rfam family: Eukaryotic large subunit ribosomal RNA
Source: RNAcentral
CACUCGAUUUGCUGACCGCCUAAGUCAUUGCUUGAAUGCAGCCCCGAGGAGGGUGGUANGCCCGUGUGGCGGCGCCUGUAAAAAGGUUGGAAGCAAUUUGGGCGGAGGGAUUUUUACCGUANAGUCNGGUUGCUUAGUACUGCAGCCCUAAGUAGGUGGUAAACUCCAUCUAAGGCUAAAUACUACCACGAGUCCGAUAUUUGACAAGUACCGUGAGGGAAAGCUGAAAAGGACUCUGAAGAGAGAGUUCAAGAGGACGUGAAACCAUUAGAAGCUGAAACGGGUGGAACCGUGAAGGUGGAAAGAGGGGAUUCAGGCUGUGGGC